UACGUAGGCAGCGAGCGUUGUUCGGAGUUACUGGGCGUAAAGCGUGCGUAGGCGGUGGUCCAAGUCUGGUGUGAAAUCUCCCGGCUCAACUGGGAGGGUGCGCCGGAAACUGGGCCGCUGGAGUACGGGAGAGGCAAGCGGAAUUCCAGGUGUAGCGGUGAAAUGCGUAGAUAUCUGGAGGAACACCCGUGGUGCAGACGGCUUGCUGGGCCGUGACUGACGCUGAGGCACGAAAGCGUGGGUAGCAAACAGG
RNAcentral lists this ribosomal RNA (253 nucleotides) under uncultured bacterium. RNAcentral describes it as "partial 16S ribosomal RNA". It matches the Rfam family "Bacterial small subunit ribosomal RNA", at positions 524 to 776 of the family's 1533-position model. The record is from RNAcentral.